RNAcentral lists this ribosomal RNA (252 nucleotides) under uncultured bacterium. RNAcentral's name for it is "partial 16S ribosomal RNA". It matches the Rfam family "Bacterial small subunit ribosomal RNA", at positions 524 to 776 of the family's 1533-position model. The record is from RNAcentral.
UACGAAGGGGGCUAGCGUUGCUCGGAAUCACUGGGCGUAAAGCGCACGUAGGCGGCUUUUUAAGUCAGGGGUGAAAUCCUGGAGCUCAACUCCAGAACUGCCUUUGAUACUGAGAGCUUGAGUCCGGGAGAGGUGAGUGGAACUGCGAGUGUAGAGGUGAAAUUCGUAGAUAUUCGCAAGAACACCAGUGGCGAAGGCGGCUCACUGGCCCGGUACUGACGCUGAGGCGCGAAAGCGUGGGGAGCAAACAGG